Equus quagga is the source of this 2566-nucleotide long non-coding RNA. RefSeq lists it as uncharacterized. The record is from RefSeq and is a predicted model, not a curated record. NCBI's taxonomy places the organism in Eukaryota, Metazoa, Chordata, Mammalia, Perissodactyla, Equidae. The transcript is spliced from 5 exons.
CUCACUUGGGGCCUCCUCCGUCACAUCUCUAGAGCUGCCCACGUGAAGGAGGGGCCGCAGAGAUAAUGAGGCCCUGGGGGUAGGUGGUGGCCAGGCUGCUGGAGUCAUGGGCCUGGAACCCAGCACUUAUGACUCACCUCCGCAUGCCUCAAGCUCUGACCUUGGAGUCCAGUUCCAGGAAGAGCACGCCUAUGCCAGACACCCAGUGUGUAGGGUCACUGUCUGUGAUUCCCCGAGAUCAGCAAGGAUGAUAAUAGUUCCCAUUUUGUGAGGACUAAUCAUGUGCUAGGCCCUGUUCUAAGUGCUUUACCACAGAAGGGGUCUUGCUCAAGACCACACACGUGAGAAGAUGGCAGAGCCGUGAUUCCGAUGCUGCUGCACCAUAUUGCUUCCCAAAGGCCUUUAUGGAAAACAGCCCUCAACCCUCCUGGAUUUUCAGACAGUCCUGAUUUCUGGCUUUCUCUCCAAUUGUCCCCCAAAUACCUAGAAUCGCUGCACCCUCAUGGGCUGCGCUCAGAACCAGGAGGAGAACCGGCCCUGAGGAGGGACUCCCUUCCUCAAACACAGAGCUCCCUGACAUGUGAGGACCCUAUGACAAGUCAGCAGUCUGCAAGCCCGAAGAGGGCCCUCACCGGAACUCAACUGCUCUGGCCCCUGAUCUCAGACUUCAGCCUCCGGAACUGUGAGGAAUACAUUUCUGUUGUUUCUUGUGGUCACAGACUGGAUCAUCGCUUACCCUGCUGAUCCCGCCCUGCCCUCUGUCCUGGACUCCGGGCCGCACUCCACAGAGAUGCGUGAAAUCACAGACCUGCCUUAUGCCAUUUUAUGAGUGACCAAUUUGUACUCCAAAGGUCAUUUCAUCUCCAGAUACUAGAACCAUUAUGUUUCGGCCCCUCCAUAAUCAUCUCAGCACAUCUGAAUUACGGUAGCUUCAAGUAUCUUUGUUUUUUGUUUUGUUUUAUUUGUGAUGGAUCAAAAAGACUGCUGAAACAAAGAAAAGAUCAACUGAGCAGAAACAAGCUUAUAUAGGAACAUCCUUUAUAGUUCUACUGUCAGAGAGGAGAGCUGCGUGACUUGGUCCGAUUCAGUGACAUGGUUGAUCUGGGGCACAUUUAAGUACAAGUGACAAGGCUGGGUUAGCAAAGGCUUUGCUAGGCCGGAUCUCUGUACAUGGCCCUCAACAGAUUGGAUGCUGCCCACCACAUUGGGAAGGACAAUCUACUGAGUCCACUAAUUUGAAUGUGAAUUUCAUCCAGAAAUACUCUCACAGACACACCCGGAAACAAUGUCUAAUCUAGGCAGCCUGUGGCCAGUCGAGCUGACACAUAGACUUAACCAUCACACUGUGUGAUUCCAUUUAAUACAUGAAAAACAGAAAUACCCAAAAUUAAUCUGUGCUUUCGGAAGUCAAGAGGGUGGUUACCCUUGGGAAGGUGGUGAUGGGUGAGAACACAAGGGGACUUCCAGGGUGCUGGGUGAUGUUCUGUUUCUUGAUCUGGAUCCAGUUUACACAGAAAUGUUCAGUUCAUGAAAACCCAUUAUGCUAUAUGCUCUCUGUAUGUCCUACUUCUAUCAAAAGUUUUGAAAAGAAGGAUGCACACAAAGACAGUCUUUUCAACAAAUGGUGCUGGAACAACUGAACAUCCACAUGCAAAAAAAUGAAUCCAGACACAGACCUUACAUCCUUCACAAAAAUUAACUCGAAAUGGAUGAUAGACCUAAAUGCAAAAUGCAAAACUAUGAAACUCCUAGAAGAUAACACAGGAGAAAAUCUAGAUGACAUUGGGUAUGGUGAUGGCUUUUUAGAUGCAGGAAAGAAAUAACUGAUAAACUAGAUUUCUUUAAAAUUAACAACUUCUGCUCUGCAAAGGACAAUGUCAAGAGAAUGAGAAGACAAGCCACAGACUGGGAGAAGAUAUUUGUAAAAGACACAUCGGAUAAAAGACUAUUAUCCAAAAUAUACAAAGAACUCUUGAAACUCAACAAUAGGAAAAGGAACAACCUGAUUUUAAAAUGGGCAUAAGUCCUGAACAAAUACCCCAACAAAGAAGAUGGACAGAUGGCAAGUAAGCGCGUGAAAAGAUGCUCCACAUCAUGUAUCAUCAGGGAAAUGCACCUUAAAACAACAGUGAGACACCACUACAUACCUGUUAGAAUGGCCAAAGUCCAGAACACUGACAACACCAACUGCUGACAAGGAUGGGGAGCAACAAGGACUCUCAUUCUUUGCUAGUGGGAAUGCAAAAUGGUACUACUGUUUUGAAAGACAAUUUGGAAGUUUCUUAUAAAACUAAACAUAUUCUUAUCAUACAAUCCAGUGGUCUCAAUCCUUGGGAUUUACCCAAAUGAACUGAAAACUUAUGUCUACACAAAAACCUGCACACGGAUGUUUACAGCAGCUUUAUUCAUAACUGCCAAAACUUGGAAGCAACCAAGAAGUCCUCAGUAGGUGAAUGGAUCAAUAAACUGCGGUACAUCCAGACAAUGGCAUAUUAUUCAACGCUAAAAAGCAAUGAGCCAUAAAGUCAGGAAAAGACAUGGAAGAACUUAAAGGUAUGUUACUAAG